GCAGUGUACCCGCGGCAAGACGGAAAGACCCCGUGAACCUUUACUAUAGCUUGACACUGAACAUUGAGCCUUGAUGUGUAGGAUAGGUGGGAGGCUUUGAAGUGUGGACGCCAGUCUGCAUGGAGCCGACCUUGAAAUACCACCCUUUAAUGUUUGAUGUUCUAACGUGGACCCGUAAUCCGGGUUGCGGACAGUGUCUGGUGGGUAGUUUGACUGGGGCGGUCUCCUCCUAAAGAGUAACGGAGGAGCACGAAGGUUGGCUAAUCCUGGUCGGACAUCAGGAGGUUAGUGCAAUGGCAUAAGCCAGCUUGACUGCGAGCGUGACGGCGCGAGCAGGUGCGAAAGCAGGUCAUAGUGAUCCGGUGGUUCUGAAUGGAAGGGCCAUCGCUCAACGGAUAAAAGGUACUCCGGGGAUAACAGGCUGAUACCGCCCAAGAGUUCAUAUCGACGGCGGUGUUUGGCACCUCGAUGUCGGCUCAUCACAUCCUGGGGCUGAAGUAGGUCCCAAGGGUAUGGCUGUUCGCCAUUUAAAGUGGUACGCGAGCUGGGUUUAGAACGUCGUGAGACAGUUCGGUCCCUAUCUGCCGUGGGCGCUGGAGAACUGAGGGGGGCUGCUCCUAGUACGAGAGGACCGGAGUGGACGCAUCACUGGUGUUCGGGUUGUCAUGCCAAUGGCACUGCCCGGUAGCUAAAUGCGGAAGAGAUAAGUGCUGAAAGCAUCUAAGCACGAAACUUGCCCCGAGAUGAGUUCUCCCUGAGACUUAGAGUCUCCUGAAGGAACGUUGAAGACGACGACGUUGAUAGGCCGGGUGUGUAAGCGCAGCGAUGCGUUGAGCUAACCGGUACUAAUGAACCGUGAGG
This 861-nucleotide ribosomal RNA is filed under the name Salmonella enterica subsp. enterica serovar Kentucky. RNAcentral's name for it is "partial 23S ribosomal RNA". It matches the Rfam family "Bacterial large subunit ribosomal RNA", at positions 2061 to 2916 of the family's 2925-position model. Lineage: Bacteria; Pseudomonadati; Pseudomonadota; Gammaproteobacteria; Enterobacterales; Enterobacteriaceae. The record is from RNAcentral.